UGCGUAGGCGGGGCAAUUAGUCAGUGGUGAAAUCCUGCGGCUUAACCGUAGAACUGCCAUUGAUACUGUUGCCCUUGAGUAUAGUUGAGGUGGGCGGAAUGUGUAAUGUAGCGGUGAAAUGCAUAGAGAUUACACAGAACACCAAUUGCGAAGGCAGCUCACUAAGCUAUAACUGACGCUGAGGCACGAAAGCGUGGGGAGCGAACAGGAUUAGAUACCCUGGUAGUUC
This 229-nucleotide ribosomal RNA is filed under the name uncultured bacterium. RNAcentral's name for it is "partial 16S ribosomal RNA". It matches the Rfam family "Bacterial small subunit ribosomal RNA", at positions 568 to 796 of the family's 1533-position model. The record is from RNAcentral.